This 498-nucleotide ribosomal RNA is filed under the name uncultured bacterium. RNAcentral's name for it is "bacterial SSU rRNA". It matches the Rfam family "Bacterial small subunit ribosomal RNA", at positions 29 to 507 of the family's 1533-position model. The record is from RNAcentral.
AUGAACGCUGGCGGCGUGCUUAACACAUGCAAGUCGAACGGAGCUUAUUUGAUAGAGGAUUCGUCCAAUUGAUUUUAAGCUUAGUGGCGGACGGGUGAGUAACGCGUGGGUAACCUGCCUCACACAGGGGGGAUAACAGUUAGAAAUGACUGCUAAUACCGCAUAAGACCACAGUACCGCAUGGUACAGUGAUAAAAACUCCGGUGGUGUGAGAUGGACCCGCGUCUGAUUAGCUAGUUGGUGAGGUAACGGCCCACCAAGUCGACGAUCAGUAGCCGGACUGAGAGGUUGAUCGGCCACAUUGGGACUGAGACACGGUCCAGACUCCUACGGGAGGCAGCAGUGAGGAAUAUUGGUCAAUGGAGGCAACUCUGAACCAGCCAAGUAGCGUGAGGGAUGACUGCCCUACGGGUUGUAAACCUCUUUUGUCGGGGAAUAAACCGCGCCACGUGUGGCGCCCUGCAUGUACCCGCAGAAUAAGGACCGGCUAAUUCCGUG